AGAGUUUUAUCCUGGCUCAGGAUGAACGCUGGCGGCAUGCCUAAUACAUGCAAGUCGAACGAGAGGAAGGAAAGCUUGCUUUUCUGAAUCUAGUGGCGAACGGGUGAGUAACACGUAGGUAACCUGCCCAUGUGCCCGGGAUAACUUCUGGAAACGGAUGCUAAAACCGGAUAGGUAGCAGACAAGCAUUUGACUGCUAUUAAAGUGGCUAAGGCCAUGAACAUGGAUGGACCUGCGGUGCAUUAGCUAGUUGGUGAGGUAACGGCCCACCAAGGCGACGAUGCAUAGCCGGCCUGAGAGGGCGGACGGCCACAUUGGGACUGAGACACGGCCCAAACUCCUACGGGAGGCAGCAGUAGGGAAUUUUCGUCAAUGGGGGGAACCCUGAACGAGCAAUGCCGCGUGAGUGAGGAAGGUCUUCGGAUCGUAAAGCUCUGUUGUAAGAGAAAAACGAUAUUCAUAGGGAAUGAUGAGUGAGUGAUGGUAUCUUACCAGAAAGUCACGGCUAACUACGUGCCAGCAGCCGCGGUAAUACGUAGGUGGCGAGCGUUAUCCGGAAUGAUUGGGCGUAAAGGGUGCGUAGGUGGCAGAACAAGUCUGGAGUAAAAGGUAUGGGCUCAACCCGUACUGGCUCUGGAAACUGUUCAGCUAGAGAACAGAAGAGGACGGCGGAACUCCAUGUGUAGCGGUAAAAUGCGUAGAUAUAUAGAAGAACACCGGUGGCGAAGGCGGCCGUCUGGUCUGUUGCUGACACUGAAGCACGAAAGCGUGGGGAGCAAAUAGGAUUAGAUACCCUAGUAGUCCACGCCGUAAACGAUGAGAA
This 823-nucleotide ribosomal RNA is filed under the name uncultured bacterium. Its description in RNAcentral is "bacterial SSU rRNA". It matches the Rfam family "Bacterial small subunit ribosomal RNA", at positions 8 to 815 of the family's 1533-position model. The record is from RNAcentral.